ACUGACCGCUGUUCCCCACACACACACACACACACACACACACACACACACACACACACGCUGUGCAGACCCACAGGUUUAAGCCAUACCUCUUUCAGAGUAGAAGUGCUUCCUCCUCUCCAAAUGUCUCCACUGUGUCCUGUGGGUGAGACACACGCUUUAAACUACACUUCCCAUCAUGCCUGCUGAACCACAGGAAGACGCUGCUGGAUGUGAGCGCGCCUUCUUCACCCCACCUUGUCUUCCUGCCAACGCCAAACGUCAAAGGAAACACACACACACACUCACACACACACACUCACACACACACUUUACUUGUUUGAGCUGUUUCUUUCUUAUUCUAUUUUUAUAUUUAUGUGCCACUGCGGGCGGAUAAUUAGUGCUCUUCCUCAGCAUGAAACUAAACACUAUGAAUGACUUCCAGUCUGCCUCUCGUACCACUGACCUCCUUAAGACGCCACCAGGUGUCCGUUACCUUAUAGGAUCUUUCCUACACACACACACGACAGCAUACACAACACACUACACCAAAAAACUAUUACACACACACACACACACACAGUUUCCUGUAAGCAUUUCUGGUCCGUGUUGUGUGUGUGUGUGUGUGUGUGUGAGGAGAGCUGCAGCCAAAGGACUCUAAAUAUUCGGCUCCCUCUCCACUCGGCUCGGACGGCUGAAACGUUUCUGAAUGAUUUACGGAAAUACAGUUAAAGUAUUAAAAUGUUUUUUUUUUGUAAGACUUGUCACUGUGUGUGUGUGUUUGUGUGUUGUUUGAUUCUACUUGUUUAGUGGUGCAGAAAGGGAGCGAACCCGAAGCCACUGGUUAUUAUUAACUAAGUUAAAUACACUCACCGUGCAUACAUUUACUUUGAUAAUGAAAUAAUGAGAAAGUGCAGACGGCUCCAAGAAAGUAAUGUGAGUUUAAGACUUAAAUAAGAGGCAAAAUGUAUUUUGUUUCAGGAUGCGGCUCUUUUAUUGUAUUUAUAGUCAGCUAAUAUUCAAUUUGGUGUCGUCGUUUUCUUCCACAAUCCAAAUCCCCUUCUCAUCAAUUCAGCCUUUAUUUGAAAGGAAUCCAUGCGACGUGAUUCCUUUCCAACAAUAAACUUUAAUCAGCGUGUGCACGCCGUGAGAAUGUCGAUAUCAAGAGUAUCAAAGACAAACCUCUCCUCAAUCAGGACUUCCCAAACACGUAAAGUCAAAAACAGACGGCAGGAAAGAUUAAAAGCGUCGGGUGUUCCUGAUGUACGAUGUCAGGAAUAGUUCAACUCCUCCACGAGAAGUUCAAAAGCCAAAAGCCACUCACCUUCACGGGGGCCUCUGCUUGACAAAUAGCGCAAUUUCUUCCUUUUUGCCGCCCGUGAGUCACGUCCCUGCCAGCGAGGCCUCAGGUCACACAGGCGGGAUCAUCACAUGUCCGGUUCCUUCUUCGCUGCUGCUUAUCCGUCACCUGAAGCCGGGACGACAUCCGGAGGAGGCAACAACGACAACGCCGACCACGUCUCUCCCCUCGCGGCCGCCACCUUCCUCCCUUCUCGGGUUGUGUUUGGACAUGAAAGGUGCCUAAAACCUCCCCGCAGUCGUCCAUUGAGCCCCAAACGCACCACAAACACCGGUCCCCACCCCCCACGACUACACCCCCACGUCCCCUCACCCUGCCCCCAUUCGGCCCCGAGCGGCCGGGCAGGAGGGGGUCAGGGGCCAGAGUUCAAAUGUAGGUCAACAGGAAAUGGCCGUUUUCCCCGGCAUCCGUCCACACGCCACAACAUCUUUCCUCAGACCCAAUAGAAGAAAGAGAAAAACAAACUUAAAUUCAAUAUUUCCUCGUCUUACGUAUAAAAAAAAGAAGUUUUAUUUUCAUAAUAUGAACAUUAGAGCGGGGGAGAAGGAGCCUCGAUGUGUGCAUCUGCAUUGUGUUGCGUUGUGUACGGUGUUUUGAAGAUAAUACCACUUUACCAAUUUUUGAGGGAAUGACAACACAUGAAAAACAACUUAGUGGUAAAAUUCCCACCAGCUGAAACACGAACGACAACGGCGGCCUUUUGAGAAGGGCAGCUCCGUCACGCCGAUGGGACGGGACGCGAGGCGCUCGCCGUGCUCCUCGUAAUGUCUCCAUCAGUCCCAGACUCCCACCGGGCUUGAAUUUCACCGUUCGGGCCACUGAAGCAAAAUGAAUACACGUGUGUAAAUGUGCACAUAUGCGGCGCAUGAAUAUGUGUGUGCAUAAAUAUGUACAUUUCCAUUUUAAAGAAAAGUGUGUGUUUGAGGGGGAGGAGGGGGAGGGGGGGGGCGGUAGCGUGGUGGUCAUU
Molecule: long non-coding RNA, 2306 nt
Organism: Gasterosteus aculeatus aculeatus (three-spined stickleback)
Lineage: Eukaryota; Metazoa; Chordata; Actinopteri; Perciformes; Gasterosteidae
Source: Ensembl